RNAcentral lists this long non-coding RNA (3457 nucleotides) under Gallus gallus (chicken). Its description in RNAcentral is "lncRNA (ENSGALG00010028343.1)". Lineage: Eukaryota; Metazoa; Chordata; Aves; Galliformes; Phasianidae. The record is from RNAcentral.
CCGGUCCGUACCGCGCUCUGUCAGCGGUUUAUCGGCCCUUAAAAACUUCGGCUUCGCAGGUGCCCUCCUGCCCCCGCAGCCCUCGUUCCAGCAGUCCCUAAUUCAGCCUCAUUUUCGAACUGCAGCCCCUGCCGCCGUUCCAGGCAUCCCGAGCCACUUACUCAUUCUUCCCAAUGCUUGUCGCUGCUAUCCUAAAUAUAGGGUAGUGUGCCAACGGGAGAGGCUCGGGAGCGAGCCGGGGUGCAGGGAACGCCACCGCCGUGUCGGCAGAGCCGUGCUGCUCCCAGCCCGUGCUGCCUGCUUGCUGCAGGCUUUGUGCUGCUUGGGGAGCUGCCGUGAGUUCCUGAAUGGGAUGGGGUUGGUUAUGGUGUGUGCUGACUUAGCGGUGCCCGGGGUACGGGUCAGUGUGCUCUUUGCACUGCCCUGCACCCGCGGGUCUGUAGGGAUUUGUUAACCCCGAGUGCUUCUCUGCUUUCAGACGUGGCUCACACCAGGCUGAGUGCUGCGGGGCCGCGCUCUGCUCCUCUGGCUGCUGCGGGGCCUGAGGGUGGGCAGUGGGGGACACCGAGAUCCCCACCGGCUUCGGCUGUGAGAGGCACGGCCAGAACUGGCUCAGACCUGACCAUAGCUUAUCUGCCACGGCCGGCUGCUCUGGAGGAAUUCCUGCACGUCUUCUGGCGGCAGAACUUCGCUCCGGCAGCGGGGGGACGUCGGAGGGAAUGCUGCGUCCUGGUUCGUGCCAUAGAGAGAGGCGCUGCGGUGCUUUGCACCUGAGCCCGGGGUCCCCUCAGCUCUGCUGGAGGAGGUGAGAGGGCGGUGGGGUCACGCUGGUGGCACUGCCGGGCUCCCCUGGCACAGGGGUGAGCCGCAGCGUGCUGCUGGUGCAGCAGAGGUGUGUGACACAGCAGCAGGAGCGGUGUGAGCUGCCUCUCCGCGUCCCGUCAGCUGAGGAAUAGCGUGGAGGAAUGAAUUCCAGUGAGUUGGAUGAGGAAAAUGUAAACUCUGCGUUCUCGUCGGGCAAACAGCAGUCGUGUAAAUAAACGUCUCUGGGAUUCCUUGUGGUGCUCAUCGACUGCCCAAUCCCUCGUGGUCUCUUGUUGAACUGGUGGGGUGGCUGCUGCUGCUCCCCCAGCUCUGAGUGCUUUGCCAGCAGUUUGGGCAAAACACAAGUAAACACCAUUGGGUUGACCCGGCAUAUCUGAGGUCUUGGUAUGCUGAAAAUGUUUGUUCUUGGGAUGUUUGUGCAGUCUGGAGGGCUCUGUACUUUAAGUCCCGUUUGCUGAGGACUGUGACUUGUUUAAUCUGUCUGAAGAACCUGUGCUUUUGGGGCUUGUUCUGUGAGAUUGAGUAAGUUUGGGCAAAGCCUGGAGGUGCUGCAGGAAGGGAGGUUAGUUCAUUAACCAACGGUCACGCAGGUGUGCAUAUUUCCUGCUCCGCCGCGUUUUCCUACCUGUGUAUUUUCCUGCAUUUAUUCACUGACUCGAUUCUGGUCUGGAUUGAAGUUCAUUGAAGUGGGAAAGGCUCUCGGGACUGCUUGGUGUUGCUUUGCUUUUCCUGAGUGUGCCGGCUGUGCUGGGCUGCCUGCAUCCUGGGACGGGCGGUGAAUAGAAGCCGAAGCUCCUGUCUGGAGGGCAGCCUUUGCCUGAGGUGUCAGCAGGGCUCAGGUGAGAUCUCACACCCCAGGACUGCAUGCCAUUUUCCCCAGUGCUGUGUCCUGCUCAAGGUCACACGGCGUGGCACCGUGGGUUCCCGGAGGCCAGGCUCCCUCUGGGAGGUGCCCUGGCAUCCCCACUGCACCUCCACAUCCUGGGCCAGGUUGUGGGCCUGCUGCUUCUGACAUAUCCAACUUGGGGAGCUCCUGGUGGGCCCCUAGCUUUAGCACAAAGGGUUUGUGCUGGUGGCACUCUUGCUAUGGACGUGAGCAAGCUCCUUCCUGCACGUGGCGGCCAGUCUAUGCUGAGCUGAUCUUUUUUUUUCUUUUUCCCCCUUUUUUUUUAUUCCCCUGGAUUAACUUUCUGCAAAUUAGUAACCCAAAUGGUCACACGAAGGAGUGGAUAAGCACAGAGCCCCAGAGGAGGGGGCCCAGCCUGGAGGAGGAGGAGGAGGCAGCGGGUGCUGGUGCUGCAGCGGUGAGUUAGCACAGGGCACUCUCAAAAGGGCCCUUCUCUUCCCCACUCUCAGCUGUGCCCUCCUGCCUCCUCCCACGUGCCAGCUGUGGUGCUGAGCCCGUGCAUUGAUGAACUGACCCAGCUCGCUUGGCAUUCAAUUGUUCUUUUCAUGGUGGGUUUUUUUUCUGUGUGAGCAUUUCCCUGCUGGUCAGGAGGGGACUCAGACCGGGCUGGCAGGCAGGGAGCCCUCUGCCAGCACGGCUCUCCACUGAGGUCCCUCCUGUGGGGUUACUGCCCUGCUUGCUGCUACUGCAGCUGUGGCAUUUGCCAUCGCGGUGACCCUGACCGAGAAUACGGGCUGUAUUUUCUCACGUGCUUUCUGAGAAGAGCUCAGCUCCUGGAGGGCAACGGGGUGGCUUCAGAAAGAUUUCAGAUCCUGGCUCAGAGCUCUACCACAAAUUGCUUUAAAAGCUUCUGUGCAGCGUUGGGUUCUGCAGUGCUCCUCGGGAGGACCUGACUGGUGGCAUUCCUGCCUGCCCUCGGUGCAGGGAUUGCAGGAGGGGUUUCAGCUUAUUGCAGCACGGCCACGGGUCACUCUGGUGCUGAACACAGCUGAGGUGUUUGUUAUCUCCAUGCUGUACUCUGGGGAGUCUUACAGGAAGGCCUCACGCAGGGAGCAGAUUCCGAGUGUGAUAGCAGGAGGCAUUGUGAGCCAGAAGGCAGAAGAACUGUACUGCUGGAUGCUGAUACUGAGUGCUUUGGAGCUCUCUUUUUCUCCUCUAACACCUUCCAUCUGGAUCUGCUUCCUCUGAAGGUGAGCACUCAGCUUUUCCCCAGAUCAGGGCUUCUUAGCACCGGAUGACCUUGCAGUCACCUGCAAACACAGCGUGAGGCUGCUGGAAAUCUGAACUGAUGCUUUUGACACUGAGGCUGCAAAGAUACAAAUAAUCUGGGUUGCAACAGUUUGAUAUUUGCAUCCCAUAGGCUUUCCUGGCACCUGUUGCUGUGUUCUCUGUGCUGGAGGAGUUGGUUCUCUCAUGCAGGACCAUGCCUGGUGGUUUCCCACCCCAGAGAAGCUGUUACCGUUGGAGUUUCUAUCAUAAUGCCAGGAGGCACAUUAGGGAAUGAAAGGUGGUUGUUCUGAACUCUGUAUUAAAGGUCUCAGGAUCUUAAAAUUCAGUUCCCUCUCUCCUAUCAGCUCCCAAAAUCUUCGUUCUUUCCUUUCUCCUGCACGCUGCACUGUCGUGCAUGCUUUAUGACAUGUUGAAAAGUGUAAUUUUGGUAAUGCUGGCAACAGCUGAGCUUAACAGACUCAGCUUGUGUCACUGACUUGGUGAGCUCUCACUCUG